GUGAGACAGGUGCUGCAUGGCUGUCGUCAGCUCGUGUUGUGAAAUGUUGGGUUAAGUCCCGCAACGAGCGCAACCCUUAUCCUUUGUUGCCAGCGAUUAGGUCGGGAACUCAAAGGAGACUGCCAGUGAUAAACUGGAGGAAGGUGGGGAUGACGUCAAGUCAUCAUGGCCCUUACGACCAGGGCUACACACGUGCUACAAUGGCGCAUACAA
Molecule: ribosomal RNA, 213 nt
Filed under: Salmonella enterica
Lineage: Bacteria; Pseudomonadati; Pseudomonadota; Gammaproteobacteria; Enterobacterales; Enterobacteriaceae
Also listed under: 13 other names
Description: partial 16S ribosomal RNA
Rfam family: Bacterial small subunit ribosomal RNA
Source: RNAcentral